RNAcentral lists this long non-coding RNA (587 nucleotides) under Helianthus annuus (common sunflower). Its description in RNAcentral is "hypothetical non coding rna". Lineage: Eukaryota; Viridiplantae; Streptophyta; Magnoliopsida; Asterales; Asteraceae. The record is from RNAcentral.
AUGUGUAGUGAUUUCACUGGGUGGAUUAAGUAUCGACAAACGGUUCUUCUUGAAGAAUCGGAUAUCACUUUUACGAUGAUUUGUGAUCUUCUGAUUUGUUUGCAUAAGAUAAGCUAGAACAUGUUGCGGGUAUAUGGAGGAUACGAUGGACCACAUCCUGGUGUCAUGUCUUACAACAAAAGCUAUUUGGUGGAUGAUCGGGGUGUAGCUGUAGCUGAACAUGAAUAACCUACACAACUGAUCAUCGGUUAAAGAAAUUUUGCUACAAGUCAGGAAUAUGCAGCUGAAAAAAAAAACAGAAGGAAAGCGAUGGGUAUUGUCAUGGCCACACUAGAAAAUUUUGGUUAAAUAAAAACGGGAAGAUCUUCAAGGGGGCCCAAUUCUCUUAUGUGAAAAGUGGUCUAAGACAUCAAGGAGAGACUUUCUUAUGCUUAAAGCAUAUAGCAAAAAUGGAAAGCAUUAAUAUAGAAUAUUGGUGUAAUAUGGGUGUGAAUGUAUUAGGCGAUUUGAACAAAUUUUGUGAUGUAUGUACCGGCCUUCUAGCUACUGGCUAAUGACAUUUUGAGUAAUGAAAUUGGCAUCUUGUA